CUUAAUCAAUAGACCAUCCAAAAAACAUACAUAAUAAAGUAGUAUGUUUAUCAUACAAAAUUAGUAACAUAAUUGAUACUAAGAAAAAUUUUCAAUUAUUAGUGCAUGCUAAGCCUAAGUGAUACAUAGGAAACAGAAGUCACAUCCUAAGUAAGAAGAUGCGGUCAGAUUCAAAACAGAAACCAAUGGUAUAGAUGAACAAGGCCCAGGAAGGCAAUGCCAUUCUUGAAUGCAUUUGUGAGUGUCAAUGGGUCCUUUGGAUGUGUGUUGGGGCUUGAAUCAUGACCAGAAUAAAGAAACCUGAAGCUUGGCUACAUCUCAAGCAUUGCAGUUGUGUAAAUCAUUUCAGGGCCCCUUUCUAGACAAGAUGCAGAAUGUGCCAGCCACACCUGUAGUCCUUUCCUCUGUAGGAACUUCGACAAUAUGAAAACAAGCUGCAUCAUGGCAUUGACAUCAUUGGCUUAGAUCUUCAAAGAGGACACUUUCACAAGGGUGAGAUGGACUGCUGAA
This 510-nucleotide long non-coding RNA is filed under the name Vitis vinifera (wine grape). Its description in RNAcentral is "long non-coding RNA (VVIN_LNC007404)". Lineage: Eukaryota; Viridiplantae; Streptophyta; Magnoliopsida; Vitales; Vitaceae. The record is from RNAcentral.